CCCGCACAAGCAGCGGAGCGUGUGGUUUAAUUCGAUGUUACACGAAGAACCUUACCAGGGUUUGACAUGCAAGUGGUAGGAAACCGAAAGGUGACCGACCCUUCGGGGAGCUUGCACAGGUGCUGCAUGGCUGUCGUCAGCUCGUGUCGUGAGAUGUUCGGUUAAGUCCGCUAACGAGCGCAACCCUCGCUGUGUGUUAUAUGUGUCACACGGGACUGCCGGUCUUAAGCCGGAGGAAGGUGGGGAUGAUGUCAAGUCAGCAUGGCCUUUAUAUCCUGGGCUACACACGUGCUACAAUGGUCGGUACAAAGGGUUGCCAAGCCGCGAGGUGGAGCUAAUCCCAUAAAACCGAUCGUAGUCCGGAUCGCAGUCUGCAACUCGACUGCGUGAAGUCGGAAUCGCUAGUAAUCGUGAAUCAGAAUGUCACGGUGAAUACGUUCCCGGGCCUU
RNAcentral lists this ribosomal RNA (449 nucleotides) under uncultured Leptolinea sp. RNAcentral's name for it is "bacterial SSU rRNA". It matches the Rfam family "Bacterial small subunit ribosomal RNA", at positions 920 to 1382 of the family's 1533-position model. Lineage: Bacteria; Bacillati; Chloroflexota; Anaerolineae; Anaerolineales; Anaerolineaceae. The record is from RNAcentral.